This 269-nucleotide ribosomal RNA is filed under the name uncultured bacterium. RNAcentral's name for it is "partial 16S ribosomal RNA". It matches the Rfam family "Bacterial small subunit ribosomal RNA", at positions 87 to 354 of the family's 1533-position model. The record is from RNAcentral.
UUAUCUUAGCGGCGGACGGGUGAGUAACGUGUGGGUAACCUGCCUUUUACUGUGGAAUAAUCGUUGGAAACGACGACUAAUACCGCAUACGGUUCUUGGAAGGCAUCUUCUAAGAAAGAAAGGAGUAAUUCGGUAAAAGAUGGGCCCGCAUCUGAUUAGCUAGUUGGUGAGAUAAUAGCCCACCAAGGCAACGAUCAGUAGCCGACCUGAGAGGGUGACCGGCCACAUUGGGACUGAGACACGGCCCAAACUCCUACGGAAGGCAGCAG